AUUGAACGCUGGCGGCAUGCCUUACACAUGCAAGUCGAACGGUAACGGGUCCUUCGGGAUGCCGACGAGUGGCGAACGGGUGAGUAAUAUAUCGGAACGUGCCCAGUAGUGGGGGAUAACUGCUCGAAAGAGCAGCUAAUACCGCAUACGACCUGAGGGUGAAAGGGGGGGAUCGCAAGACCUCUCGCUAUUGGAGCGUCCGAUAUCAGAUUAGCUAGUUGGUGGGGUAAAGGCCUACCAAGGCAACGAUCUGUAGUUGGUCUGAGAGGACGACCAGCCACACUGGGACUGAGACACGGCCCAGACUCCUACGGGAGGCAGCAGUGGGGAAUUUUGGACAAUGGGCGCAAGCCUGAUCCAGCAAUGCCGCGUGCAGGAAGAAGGCCUUCGGGUUGUAAACUGCUUUUGUCAGGGAAGAAAUCUUCUGGGCUAAUACCCCGGGAGGAUGACGGUACCUGAAGAAUAAGCACCGGCUAACUACGUG
Molecule: ribosomal RNA, 484 nt
Filed under: uncultured bacterium
Lineage: Bacteria
Description: partial 16S ribosomal RNA
Rfam family: Bacterial small subunit ribosomal RNA
Source: RNAcentral